Molecule: ribosomal RNA, 485 nt
Filed under: Typhlatya galapagensis
Lineage: Eukaryota; Metazoa; Arthropoda; Malacostraca; Decapoda; Atyidae
Description: partial 16S ribosomal RNA
Rfam family: Bacterial large subunit ribosomal RNA
Source: RNAcentral
UUUAAUAGUCUGGCCUGCCCACUGAUAUUAUAAAGGGCCGCGGUAUUUGGACCGUGCUAAGGUAGCAUAAUCAAUAGUCUUUUAAUUGAAGUCUGGAAUGAAUGGUUGGAUGAAAUAUAGGUUGUCUUGGGCUAUAUGGGUUGAAUUUUACUUUUAAGUGAAAAGGCUUAAAUGAAAUAGGGGGACGAUAAGACCCUGUGAAGCUUUAAUGUUAUUAGGGUAUUUAUUGGAUAAUAUAUUUGUGAUUAUUUUUAUGUUUUAAUAAUAUUUUAUUGGGGCGAUUGGAAUAUAAUGUGUAACUGUUCUUUUAUAAAAAUAGUAAUUUUUAGAGCGUUGAUCUUUAAUUUAGGAUUAAAAGAUUAAAGUUACUCCAGGGAUAACAGCGUAAUUCUUUUUGAGAGUUCUUAUCGACAAAAGUAUUUGCGACCUCGAUGUUGAAUUAAAAGUUUCUCCAAGGCGUAGAAGUUUUGGUUGUAGGUCUGUUC